Molecule: ribosomal RNA, 121 nt
Filed under: Periophthalmus magnuspinnatus
Lineage: Eukaryota; Metazoa; Chordata; Actinopteri; Gobiiformes; Gobiidae
Source: RNAcentral
GGUUACAUAUUAACAACCCUGUCAAAGCCUGAUCUUAUUUGAUCUCAAAAGCUAAGCAAGACUUGGUGUGGUUAGUACUUGGAUGGGAGACCACAAGGAAUACCAGCAGUGACUGUAGACU